This is a long non-coding RNA of Sciurus carolinensis (gray squirrel), 1560 nucleotides long. RefSeq lists it as uncharacterized. Lineage: Eukaryota; Metazoa; Chordata; Mammalia; Rodentia; Sciuridae. The transcript is spliced from 3 exons. The record is from RefSeq and is a predicted model, not a curated record.
CCAGAGAAAAUGGAUCUUUCCCUAAAUCUGGACUGUGAAGAUUUUGAUUUGCUGCUUGCAGAUUAGUAGAAAACUGGUCAACCAAGAGCACGUUUAACUCAAAGCAGCUGGACAUGGACCUUAUGCCUCAAGGAGCAAUCAUGGACCCCCCCUACUUAAUGAUUUGCAGAUUGUACUAGAUUGACAGAGGCCUGUGUUUGACAAUAAAAUGACUUCCCCCUGAGUCAUGGUAUUGGAAUUCGGGCACCUGAAACCUGAAUCAUCACCUAACUUUGUGACUUGAAAAUGUCCUAAGAACAAGCACACUCUCCAUCAGGAAACAAACACACAAGAAGAUGCCCACUGUGAAUCCAAACUCGGGUGGCAAUUUUGAAUUGUCUAUGGUGAAUUUUUUUAAAUGACUUUUCUGUAUUCAAACCGAGGCUGCAACUAGAAUGACUUUAAGCAAGAUGAUUGUAAUUCUGUGGGGAAUUGUCAUAAAUCAAAACAGUUCUUCUUAGGCAUCAACACAUGGUCUUAAUCAUCUUGUAAUAAAUCACUCAGAGUUCAAAGGGUAAAGGUGGCCCGUCACAAUCAAAUCCUAAGAUUGCUUCAUCUACCCGCAUGUCUUUAUAUUAGCCUGCAGUCUUUGUGUUAGCAUUGCGGUGCUGCAUGGUGAUCUGAUAGGCAGAAAUGUAUUUGAAUCAUUAAGAUGCUUGGGUUGAAGACAGCAGGGCCCUCACUUCUGAUUCUAAAAGGCUCUCUCUUAAAGGUGACUUACACAUUCAUUAUAUUUCGGUGCCUUGCCUAUGUAAAUUAGUAAUCAAAUAUUCUAAAUGGAUGAUGGAAAAUAAUUUUAUCUAUUGCUAGCAUCCUAAAUCACAGUCAUAAGGUUUUAAAAGUCUGAUUAAGGAGUUUUGUUAAAAUAUCUAAGUGUCAUUUUGGUACAUUUUCUAAGUUAUUAAAUCUUCUGUAGACAUAUGAAAAAAUUCUAUAUGCAUACAUGCAAACUUUAUUUAGAAAGGCAAAUGAAAUUGGUUACAAAAGUCUUUUACUACUCAAUUUAGUCAACUUCUUCCUCAUGAGAUAAGCUGGUGGAAUGAAUGAAUAUUAAUUAACUUAUUGACUCCUUGGUCACAUGAUGCUGUGUGACUCCAUUAUUUUAAUAGUCUGUCUUCCAUGGGUAUUUUUUAUAAAUGUUUGAGAAAAUGAACCAACAAAUUAAUUUCUAAUAAUUCUCUAUUUACACAGUCCUUCAGAUGUUCUCCAUCAUUUUCUGAUUUUAAUUACAGUUCUACAAAUAUGCAAGAAGAAGAUGAAAAUUCUUUUUUCAUUCUAAAGAAUUUGGAGAGAACAAAUAAUUCAAGUAAUGUGAGAUGAGAAGCUUUCACAGUAAAAUUUAUCCUUCAUAGUAUAGAGCCUUGACUUCUGAUAAAACAUAUGGUCAUUAACUAUCACCCCACUGAGAUAUGGAAGAGGUUAUCAUCCUCCAAAUUUCCCUCCUGCCCUUUGUAUUUUACACUUAGCAAAAUGCACUAAAGGUUCGUUCAUGUUGUUGUAGCCGUAGUUCAAUUCAUUGUA